RNAcentral lists this ribosomal RNA (253 nucleotides) under uncultured bacterium. Its description in RNAcentral is "partial 16S ribosomal RNA". It matches the Rfam family "Bacterial small subunit ribosomal RNA", at positions 524 to 776 of the family's 1533-position model. The record is from RNAcentral.
AACGUAGGAGACAAACGUUAUCCGGAGUUACUGGGCGUAAAGGGCGUGUAGGCGGUUUGUUAAGUCUGGCGUGAAAGCUCUCGGCUAAACCGGGAGAGGUCGUUGAAUACUGGCAAACUAGAGGAUGGUAGAGGCGUGUGGAAUUCCGGGUGUAGUGGUGAAAUGCGUAGAGAUCCGGAGGAACACCAGUGGCGAAGGCGACACGCUGGGCCAUACCUGACGCUAAAGCGCGACAGCAUGGGGAGCAAACGGG